AAAGGGAGCGUAGGCGGGUCGUUAAGUUGGGGGUGAAAUCCCGGGGCUCAACCUCGGAACUGCCUUCGAUACUGGCGACCUUGAGUAUGGGAGAGGUGAGUGGAACUCCGAGUGUAGAGGUGAAAUUCGUAGAUAUUCGGAAGAACACCAGUGGCGAAGGCGACUCACUGGCCCAUUACUGACGCUGAGGCUCGAAAGCGUGGGGAGCAAACAGGAUUAGAUACCCUAGU
This 230-nucleotide ribosomal RNA is filed under the name uncultured bacterium. Its description in RNAcentral is "partial 16S ribosomal RNA". It matches the Rfam family "Bacterial small subunit ribosomal RNA", at positions 562 to 791 of the family's 1533-position model. The record is from RNAcentral.